Molecule: long non-coding RNA, 1210 nt
Filed under: Manacus vitellinus (golden-collared manakin)
Lineage: Eukaryota; Metazoa; Chordata; Aves; Passeriformes; Pipridae
Description: lncRNA (ENSMVIG00005002234.1)
Source: RNAcentral
AGUGGGGUUCUGUGGCCGCGACACCAGAGGUGUGGGGGCACUGAGUGUUGUGGGGGCUCGGCCUGGGGAGAGGGAGUGGGCGUGUGGCUGUGUUCGGGGGGUGCGCGGGAUUGAUGGGCAGAAGUGGCCUGCCAGAGGAGGGAGGGUUGUGUGACUGGGCUGUGGAGUCCUGGAGGAAGUAAAUGUAUAGAAAUGGGGAAACUGUGUUUAGCUCAUGGAAACUUGUAAAAGAAUCGAUAGAGAGAAUGGGGUGCUUUAGCCUGGAGAAGGGGAGGCUCAGGGGUGAACUUACCCCUGACAGGAGGGUAGACCCUGGUCGGGGUCGGUAAAAAGUGAGGGGACCAGAGGACACGGCCUUAACCUGCACCAGGGGAGAUUUAAGCUGGACAUUAGGAGGAAUUUCUUCACAGAAGAGGGUAAUUAGACAUUGGAAUGGGCUGCCCAGGUAAGUGGUGGAGUCACCGUCCCUGGAGGUGUUUAAGGAAAGAUUGGACGUGGCACUCAGGCUGUGGUCUGGUUGACACGGUGGGUGAUUGUUCAUGGGUUGGAGUUGCUGAUCUCAGAGGUCUUUUCCAACCUAAUGAAUUCUGAGAUUCUUUGAAACUGAGGCUGAACAGGCAGCAAGGAACAGAUGUGUCUUUUGUGAGUGGCACCUAAGCUUGAUUACAAGCAUAAAAUUUAGGGUGACCAUGUGUGGGACACAGAGGGCUCUGUCUGUGAGGGACAAGUGUGAAGCUGUGGUGGCUUCAUCUGCAGAGGACUGGCAGGCUCCUGUUAUGGGAGACUGUGUGGAACUAGACUUGUAGAUGGAGUGGGUGGUGGUUGUGGUGUUGGGGAGUCAGCCUGUAAAAGUCUGGCUAGAAAGAGAUGCGCUUGUGUGGUUUGUAGAAUCAGGAGCUGAUGUUUGGGCUCCUGGGGCUGAGGUAGAGGGUCAGCGACUUGAAGACAUUGGGGUGGAGCUGACAGCCUGGCCUGGUGGAAAUUUAGGACCUGACAAUUUAGCUCCAGGAGUGUCUACAAAAGGAAAUUUAAAAACAAGCUGUUUGCCAAAAUAUCAGACAAGUCAAACUGAACUCAAGGUGCCUGUAGCUGUUGCUUCUGUUUCCAUGGAUCCGGAUAGAAGUGUGGGAAAUCUGACAGGGCAGCAGGUCAGUAAAGGCAAAUUUUUAUUGCUCUUAAGACUUAGUACAAAAACGUCAGAUUUUAUAUU